Molecule: small nuclear RNA, 107 nt
Organism: Suricata suricatta (meerkat)
Lineage: Eukaryota; Metazoa; Chordata; Mammalia; Carnivora; Herpestidae
Source: Ensembl
GUGCUGGCUUCAGCAGCACAUAUACUAAUAUUGGAACAAUACAGAGAUGAUUAGCAUGGCCCUUGUACAAGAAUGACAUGCAAAUCUGUGAAGCGUCCAUUUUUUUU